RNAcentral lists this long non-coding RNA (539 nucleotides) under Mytilus galloprovincialis (Mediterranean mussel). The record is from RNAcentral. Lineage: Eukaryota; Metazoa; Mollusca; Bivalvia; Mytilida; Mytilidae.
UUUAAGUAAAUGCAGGUACCACAUAUAAUGUUUGAAUUAUAAUUAUCACUUAGUUCACAGUUUUAUGUAUAUAUAUCCAAAAUUAUCCAACUACUGCACAUGAUGCAUAAUGAUAUGAACAUUUCCUUUUGUGUGUUGAUCCUUCAAAUGUUCUCUUAUGUUUUUAUUUCUUUAUUUCUUUGUCUUGAAUGUUCCAGAGUCAGUUUUAACAGUAAUGAAAUCCUUCCUUUUAUUGUAAUACUGAAAAUCUCUGCAUUCCAAAAGUUACAUGUGACAUGGCAUGGGGUUUUCAUAUUCAGCACUGUUAUAUUUUUGUUAUAUCAUCAAGCUUUUAUCUAAUAAACAUUGAUUUCACUUUCUUUUCAUGCAUAUAUCUUAAACUGCCCCCAUAUCUGGCUACAAAUUGUCUGAUAAUUUCCUUGUGUGUGUUGAUCUUCAUAAGAAAGACGUGGUCACUCUUUUCCUCUGAUUAUUUUUUUUCAAAUUUCAGUUAGGCUAUUAUAGUUAAAACUAACAUGUAUGACACCAUUGCCUCCAAG